This 253-nucleotide ribosomal RNA is filed under the name uncultured bacterium. Its description in RNAcentral is "partial 16S ribosomal RNA". It matches the Rfam family "Bacterial small subunit ribosomal RNA", at positions 524 to 776 of the family's 1533-position model. The record is from RNAcentral.
UACGAAGGGGGCUAGCGUUGCUCGGAAUCACUGGGCGUAAAGCGCACGUAGGCGGAUUGCUAAGUCAGGGGUGAAAUCCUGGAGCUCAACUCCAGAACUGCCUUUGAUACUGGCGACCUUGAGUCCGGGAGAGGUGAGUGGAACUGCGAGUGUAGAGGUGAAAUUCGUAGAUAUUCGCAAGAACACCAGUGGCGAAGGCGGCUCACUAGCCCGGUACUGACGCUGAGGUGCGAAAGCGUGGGGAGCAAACAGG